This 496-nucleotide ribosomal RNA is filed under the name Burkholderia sp. PN1(7). RNAcentral describes it as "bacterial SSU rRNA". It matches the Rfam family "Bacterial small subunit ribosomal RNA", at positions 12 to 503 of the family's 1533-position model. The record is from RNAcentral. Lineage: Bacteria; Pseudomonadati; Pseudomonadota; Betaproteobacteria; Burkholderiales; Burkholderiaceae.
UUUGAUCCUGGCUCAGAUUGAACGCUGGCGGCAUGCCUUACACAUGCAAGUCGAACGGCAGCACGGGGGCAACCCUGGUGGCGAGUGGCGAACGGGUGAGUAAUACAUCGGAACGUGUCCUGUAGUGGGGGAUAGCCCGGCGAAAGCCGGAUUAAUACCGCAUACGAUCUACGGAAGAAAGCGGGGGAUCGCAAGACCUCGCGCUAUAGGGGCGGCCGAUGGCAGAUUAGCUAGUUGGUGGGGUAAAGGCCUACCAAGGCGACGAUCUGUAGCUGGUCUGAGAGGACGACCAGCCACACUGGGACUGAGACACGGCCCAGACUCCUACGGGAGGCAGCAGUGGGGAAUUUUGGACAAUGGGGGAAACCCUGAUCCAGCAAUGCCGCGUGUGUGAAGAAGGCCUUCGGGUUGUAAAGCACUUUUGUCCGGAAAGAAAACCUUUGGGCUAAUACCCUGAGGGGAUGACGGUACCGGAAGAAUAAGCACCGGAAUACAU